UGUCAGCAUCAAACUUUCAUAUACUGA
This 27-nucleotide non-coding RNA is filed under the name Rattus norvegicus (Norway rat). The record is from RNAcentral. Lineage: Eukaryota; Metazoa; Chordata; Mammalia; Rodentia; Muridae.